CGGACGGGUGAGUAACACGUGGAUAACCUACCUAUAAGACUGGGAUAACUUCGGGAAACCGGAGCUAAUACCGGAUAAUAUAUUGAACCGCAUGGUUCAAUGGUGAAAGACGGUUUUGCUGUCACUUAUAGAUGGAUCCGCGCCGCAUUAGCUAGUUGGUAAGGUAACGGCUUACCAAGGCAACGAUGCGUAGCCGACCUGAGGAGGGUGAUCGGCCACACUGGAACUGAGACACGGUCCAGACUCCUACGGGAGGCAGCAGCG
This 264-nucleotide ribosomal RNA is filed under the name uncultured Staphylococcus sp. RNAcentral describes it as "partial 16S ribosomal RNA". It matches the Rfam family "Bacterial small subunit ribosomal RNA", at positions 99 to 356 of the family's 1533-position model. Lineage: Bacteria; Bacillati; Bacillota; Bacilli; Caryophanales; Staphylococcaceae. The record is from RNAcentral.